RNAcentral lists this non-coding RNA (101 nucleotides) under unidentified. Its description in RNAcentral is "Listeriaceae bacterium SAM-I sequence". It matches the Rfam family "SAM riboswitch aptamer (S box leader)". From Rfam's summary of the family: The SAM riboswitch is found upstream of a number of genes which code for proteins involved in methionine or cysteine biosynthesis in Gram-positive bacteria. The SAM riboswitch acts at the level of transcription termination control. The record is from RNAcentral.
UUCUUAUCAAGAAAGGUGGAGGGACUGGCCCUUUGAAACCUUAGCAACCGGACAUUGUGAUCACGGUGCUAAUUCCAGCAAUUUUUUUGCGAAGAUAAGCU